This 1850-nucleotide ribosomal RNA is filed under the name Salmonella enterica subsp. enterica serovar Stanley. RNAcentral describes it as "partial 23S ribosomal RNA". It matches the Rfam family "Bacterial large subunit ribosomal RNA", at positions 351 to 2188 of the family's 2925-position model. The record is from RNAcentral. Lineage: Bacteria; Pseudomonadati; Pseudomonadota; Gammaproteobacteria; Enterobacterales; Enterobacteriaceae.
CGCGCGAUACAGGGUGACAGCCCCGUACACAAAAGCGCAUGUGUUGUGAGCUCGAUGAGUAGGGCGGGACACGUGGUAUCCUGUCUGAAUAUGGGGGGACCAUCCUCCAAGGCUAAAUACUCCUGACUGACCGAUAGUGAACCAGUACCGUGAGGGAAAGGCGAAAAGAACCCCGGCGAGGGGAGUGAAAAAGAACCUGAAACCGUGUACGUACAAGCAGUGGGAGCACCCUUCGGGGUGUGACUGCGUACCUUUUGUAUAAUGGGUCAGCGACUUAUAUUCUGUAGCAAGGUUAACCGAAUAGGGGAGCCGGAGGGAAACCGAGUCUUAAUUGGGCGUUAAGUUGCAGGGUAUAGACCCGAAACCCGGUGAUCUAGCCAUGGGCAGGUUGAAGGUUGGGUAACACUAACUGGAGGACCGAACCGACUAAUGUUGAAAAAUUAGCGGAUGACCUGUGGCUGGGGGUGAAAGGCCAAUCAAACCGGGAGAUAGCUGGUUCUCCCCGAAAGCUAUUUAGGUAGCGCCUCGUGAAUUCAUCUCCGGGGGUAGAGCACUGUUUCGGCUAGGGGGCCAUCCCGGCUUACCAACCCGAUGCAAACUGCGAAUACCGGAGAAUGUUAUCACGGGAGACACACGGCGGGUGCUAACGUCCGUCGUGAAGAGGGAAACAACCCAGACCGCCAGCUAAGGUCCCAAAGUCAUGGUUAAGUGGGAAACGAUGUGGGAAGGCCCAGACAGCCAGGAUGUUGGCUUAGAAGCAGCCAUCAUUUAAAGAAAGCGUAAUAGCUCACUGGUCGAGUCGGCCUGCGCGGAAGAUGUAACGGGGCUAAACCAUGCACCGAAGCUGCGGCAGCGACACUGUGUGUUGUUGGGUAGGGGAGCGUUCUGUAAGCCUGUGAAGGUGUGUCGUGAGGCAUGCUGGAGGUAUCAGAAGUGCGAAUGCUGACAUAAGUAACGAUAAAGCGGGUGAAAAGCCCGCUCGCCGGAAGACCAAGGGUUCCUGUCCAACGUUAAUCGGGGCAGGGUGAGUCGACCCCUAAGGCGAGGCCGAAAGGCGUAGUCGAUGGGAAACGGGUUAAUAUUCCCGUACUUGGUGUUACUGCGAAGGGGGGACGGAGAAGGCUAUGUUGGCCGGGCGACGGUUGUCCCGGUUUAAGCGUGUAGGUGUGUGUUCCAGGUAAAUCCGGUUCACUUUAACACUGAGGCGUGACGACGAGGCACUACGGUGCUGAAGCAACAAAUGCCCUGCUUCCAGGAAAAGCCUCUAAGCAUCAGGUAACAUCAAAUCGUACCCCAAACCGACACAGGUGGUCAGGUAGAGAAUACCAAGGCGCUUGAGAGAACUCGGGUGAAGGAACUAGGCAAAAUGGUGCCGUAACUUCGGGAGAAGGCACGCUGACACGUAGGUGAAGUGAUUUACUCAUGGAGCUGAAGUCAGUCGAAGAUACCAGCUGGCUGCAACUGUUUAUUAAAAACACAGCACUGUGCAAACACGAAAGUGGACGUAUACGGUGUGACGCCUGCCCGGUGCCGGAAGGUUAAUUGAUGGGGUCAGCGCAAGCGAAGCUCCUGAUCGAAGCCCCGGUAAACGGCGGCCGUAACUAUAACGGUCCUAAGGUAGCGAAAUUCCUUGUCGGGUAAGUUCCGACCUGCACGAAUGGCGUAAUGAUGGCCAGGCUGUCUCCACCCGAGACUCAGUGAAAUUGAACUCGCUGUGAAGAUGCAGUGUACCCGCGGCAAGACGGAAAGACCCCGUGAACCUUUACUAUAGCUUGACACUGAACAUUGAGCCUUGAUGUGUAGGAUAGGUGGGAGGCUUUGAAGCGUGGACGCCAGUCUGCGUGGAGCCG